CGAAAAAGACCCAAGUAAAUUAAUGAAAAAGAGAGAAAACCUCGACUGUUGCCAUCGGGUUCAAGUAAAUAUCCGGCUUGAAUCCAUCAACUAAACUUAGAUUUCGCAAUCAAUUGGCUUGGCAGAGGCUAGACUCCUUGAAUCCAUCGGCCUGCGCAACCAUAGACACUCGAAGGAGGAGCUGCUUUUGAAUCAAAGAGUAGGGUGUGGGUAUGAAACGAUAGAGGAAAUUGGUUUUGGUGAACUGGUUUCAGUGGAGUGCUAGGCUUGAGGGUGGUCUAGUAUAUGACAAGAAGGUCGGCUAAAGGAGCUGUGAUCUUAGUCUCUUGAGGGAGAUGGGUCUGCUAUUGAUUGCAAGUGCGUGUGAUGUUGUGGCAAUCUCAGAUGGCGGUAGUGAUAGUAAUGUCAAUGGGUUUCGGGUAAGUUGCAAAGGGACAAUCUGUGAGCGAUAAACCAACAUGUGUCUUUGGUGUUGUGAUGCAAAGGGUUGGUAUGAAUGAGCAGAGGGAGAGAUGGGUUCAAUGGUGUGCCAGCGUUAAAGAUGUAAUCGAAGAAAUCCAUACUUCAAACCAUCAUCUCCGAUGCUUAAUCUCCAAAUCAACCCGGAUUCUUUGACCCGUGAACAGGUCAUUACAGAGGUUGCUUCACUUGCAGAGGAGGCGGGUUCGAUGGUGGCAUUGGGUUUCUUCAAUUUGGCAAUUGGGUUUGCAAAGUUUAGGCAUUUUUUGAGGUUGUACAUCGUUUGUGCUACUUCUUUAAUUGGUAAUGGCAGUUUCGAUAGAGCCCGUGAAGCGAUGCGAAUUAUGGACAGGAGCUUUGCUGAGAUUGGGAGGUAAUCUUCAAAUUUCCAACCUAAAUUGAAUGGCUAGUAUUUGUCCAACAAAGAUCCAACGUGUGAACAAUGGUUUGAUGGGUUCCUCCCCAGAAGAAAGAACCACCCAAAUUCUAGAUCAAGAUUUUCUCCAACUUAAUUGGGGACCAUAAGUUAUAUUAAAGGAGCAGGACAAGUAAUAUACGUGUUUAGAAAUCUACACUAAAUUUCAAGCUUUCUCUAUGUGUGGCUAUUAUUGUUCUAUGAAGCUCUCGUUCACACCAUCCUCCAAUAAAAAACCAAAGGCUCUCUAGUUUUACGCCAAAAAAUAUCCUCUCCACACCCAAAGAACCUAAAGAAAAAGGAAAACCAACCAAAAGCACACAUCUCAGAUUCUUGCAAGCAGAAAGACAGAGAAACUUGUAGCACUACUCUUGGGUGUUUUUCAAUGGCCGCUUCAAUUUCAGCAACUGGGUUUAAAGGAGGUUUUGGUACCAAUUCAUUUAUGGUUGGUGAAGACUAUGGCAUGUUGGCUAAGUCAGUGCCAAUACAUGUAAGGGUUGCAAAGCCAGUAAGAUUGGCGCCCAUGAUGAAGAACGUCAAUGAAGGGAAGGGUCUUUUUGCACCUAUUGUCGUUGUCACUCGCAACAUAAUUGGCAAGAAAAGGUUUAACCAGUUUAGAGGCAAAGCAAUUUCCUUACACUCUCAGGUAAACUUAUGUGUGUUUCUGCUCUUUUGGUUAGAUUUGCUCUGUAGGUCUUGCAGAUGAGAAAUUUGCUAUAUUUACUUUUUCUUGAUUUAUUUUCUAAACAAAUAAAGAGUUAGAUUUUUUUUUUAUCUCCUGAAAAUUAGACCGAUUUAGAAGCAUAAUUUUUUAAAUAUAUAUAUGUAUAUAUAUUUCAAUCUAUUUAUUUACUUGUAUAUAUUGUUUUCAUGUUCUCUGUGUGAUACCACAAGCACAGCUGUGCCGAACAUCUACUUCAAUUUUAGACCACAGAUUUAUUCAGUGGUCUGCUGGUUUUUGUAUUCUAGUGGAUUUUUUUUUUCGGUGGGGAAAAGGGUGGGUGUAAUUUAUAGAUAAUUUUAGUGAUAAUUUGUUUUCUUUGAGAAAAAAAAAAGUUAAUUGAUAAAUUUCAAGCAAAUUUACUGAGUUGCUUAUGCUGUUAAAUGUACAGGUGAUUAAUGAAUUCUGCAAAUCAAUAGGAGCAGACUCGAAACAAAGGCAAGGACUGAUCAGGUUAGCCAAGAAGAAUGGAGAAAGACUUGGAUUCCUCGCUUGAGGAAAGGCUAUCAUCACCAUUUGAGAAGCUUCAAAUCCAUAUCUUAUUUUGUUAAAAGACUUUGAGAUGUAAAAGAUCUCUUCAUAUGCGUACCUUUGAACCAUAAUGUUCAUUAUAUUCCCACAUCAUUAGUCAUUUUAGUUGUAAUAAUACUUUGUCCUCAAAUUAUCGAACAAUAGUAAUAGUUCUUUAAAUCAAGAAAUUUUAGCAAA
Molecule: unclassified non-coding RNA, 2303 nt
Filed under: Hevea brasiliensis (rubber tree)
Lineage: Eukaryota; Viridiplantae; Streptophyta; Magnoliopsida; Malpighiales; Euphorbiaceae
Source: RNAcentral